CCUACGGGAGGCAGCAGUGGGGAAUUUUGGACAAUGGGCGCAAGCCUGAUCCAGCCAUGCCGCGUGAGUGAAGAAGGCCUUCGGGUUGUAAAGCUCUUUCGGUGGGGACGAAAAGGUUCGUGCUAAUACCACGGACUAAUGACGGUACCCGAAGAAGAAGCACCGGCUAACUACGUGCCAGCAGCCGCGGUAAUACGUAGGGUGCAGGCGUUAAUCGGAAUUACUGGGCGUAAAGCGUGCGCAGGCGGUUUGUUAAGACAGAUGUGAAAUCCCCGGGCUUAACCUGGGAACUGCGUUUGUAACUGGCAAGCUAGAGUGUGGCAGAGGGGGGUAGAAUUCCAGGUGUAGCAGUGAAAUGCGUAGAUAUCUGGAGGAAUACCGAUGGCGAAGGCAGCCCCCUGGGUUAACACUGACGCUCAUGCACGAAAGCGUGGGGAGCAAACAGGAUUAGAUACCCUGGUAGUCCACGCCCUAAACUAUGUCAACUGGUUGUCGGGGGAGCAAUCCCUUGGUAACGAAGCUAACGCGUGAAGUUGACCGCCUGGGGAGUACGGCCGCAAGGUUAAAACUCAAAGGAAUUGACGG
RNAcentral lists this ribosomal RNA (585 nucleotides) under uncultured bacterium. RNAcentral's name for it is "bacterial SSU rRNA". It matches the Rfam family "Bacterial small subunit ribosomal RNA", at positions 338 to 916 of the family's 1533-position model. The record is from RNAcentral.